UCUCUGCAUGCUGGGAGUGUUUGGUGCAUGCUGGGAAUUGUUCGAUCGCGGGAGUGCGUGUGUUUUGUAGAGUUAGAUAUUCAGAACUUUCUUUCGGUUUUCUCUUUCUUGGUGGCAUUCUUUGUUUUCUUCUGUGCGUGAUUUAGAUUGUUAUAAUUUUUAUUGUGUGGUAGAAUUAAGUAUUUUGUUUUUUUCGUAUCGAAAUGACCCUGAUUUUGGCGGGGAUGGCAGGCCGAAUGGGGAUGCCGUCCCUGUCACUUCGGCACGGCUUUAGGUGUGUUACUGAAGCUGCUGUCACGGUGGAGGAGUUUCUGGUCGCCGUAGGAGAGAAGGUUGCUGAAACAUGUUGAUGAGUGUUUUCAGCCUGAUGCCUGCCCCUGCCUCUGGAAGGGGAAAGAGUACUAUCCAGGAGAGAGUCACCUCCCCCUGUCAUCGAUGUGUCUGCCAGCACGGAACGUUCCAGUGUGUGUUCCAUCCGUGUCCGUCCAUGUGCACAGCCUAUGGGGACCGCCACUACAGGACA
Salvelinus sp. IW2-2015 is the source of this 523-nucleotide long non-coding RNA. RefSeq lists it as uncharacterized. The record is from RefSeq and is a predicted model, not a curated record. Lineage: Eukaryota; Metazoa; Chordata; Actinopteri; Salmoniformes; Salmonidae.